This 589-nucleotide ribosomal RNA is filed under the name Cyclocybe sp. Its description in RNAcentral is "LSU rRNA". It matches the Rfam family "Eukaryotic large subunit ribosomal RNA", at positions 86 to 639 of the family's 3401-position model. Lineage: Eukaryota; Fungi; Basidiomycota; Agaricomycetes; Agaricales; Hemipholiotaceae. The record is from RNAcentral.
ACUGCGAGUGAAGCGGGAAAAGCUCAAAUUUUAAAUCUGGCGGUCCUUUGCGGCCGUCCGAGUUGUAAUCUAGAGAAGUGCUUACCCGCGCUGGACCGUGUACAAGUCUCCUGGAAUGGAGCGUCAUAGAGGGUGAGAAUCCCGUCUUGGACCCGGGCUGCCAGGGCUUAUGUGGUGCGCUCUCGAAGAGUCGAGUUGUUUGGGAAUGCAGCUCUAAAUGGGUGGUAAAUUCCAUCUAAAGCUAAAUACAGGCGAGAGACCGAUAGCGAACAAGUACCGUGAGGGAAAGAUGAAAAGAACUUUGGAAAGAGAGUUAAACAGUACGUGAAAUUGCUGAAAGGGAAACGUUUGAAGUCAGUCGCGUUGGCUGGGGAUCAACCUUGCUCUUGCAGGGCGCACUCUCUGGUUUCGACGGGUCAGCAUCAGUUUUGGUCGCUGGAGAAAGGCUAGGGGAAUGUGGCAUCGCUUCGGUGAUGUGUUAUAGCCCUUGGUUGUAUGCAGCGGUUGGGACUGAGGAACUCAGCGCGCGCCUUUCAAAGGGUGCCGGGUCUUUGACCACGCACGCGCUUAGGAUGCUGGCAUAAUGGCU